ACUGCUCAGUAACACGUGGACAAGCUGCCCUAUUGCGGGGGAUAAUCUCGGGAAACUGAGGAUAAUACCCCAUAGAUCUCACUUACUGGAAUGUUGUGAGAUUAAAAGCUCCGGCACAAUAGGAUGCGUCUGCGGUCGAUUAGUUAGUAGGCGGUGUAAUGGACCACCUAGACUAUAAUCGAUAGGGGUCAUGGGAGUGAUAGCCCCGAGAUGAAAUCUGAGACACUAUUUCAAGCCUUACGGGGUGCAGCAGGCGCGAAACCUUUACAAUGCACGAAAGUGUGAUAAGGGGACUCCAAGUGUCCAUAUACCAUAUGGACUUUUCUUUAGUCUAAAACGCUAGAGGAAUAAGGGGUGGGUAAGACUAGUGCCAGCCGCCGCGGUAAAACUAGCAUCCCAAGUGGCAAUCACCAUUACUGGGCUUAAAGCGUCCGUAGCUUGUUCGAAAAGUCUCUGCUGAGAUCCUGCGGCUUAACCGUAGGGCUUGGUGGAGAAACUUUCGGACUAGAGGAUGGGAGAGGUCGGAGGUACUUCUGGGGUAGGGGUGAAAUCCUAUAAUCCUAGAAGGACCAACAGUGGCGAAGGCGUCCGACAUGAACAUGCCUGACAGUGAGGGACGAGAGCCAGGGUCGCGAAACGGAUUAGAUACCCGUGUAGUCCUGGCCGUAAACGAUGUUGACUAGGUGGGGCGCGCUCUUCGUGAGCGUGCUAUGCCGAAGGGAAACCGUUAAGUCAACCGCCU
Molecule: ribosomal RNA, 742 nt
Filed under: uncultured archaeon
Lineage: Archaea
Description: bacterial SSU rRNA
Rfam family: Archaeal small subunit ribosomal RNA
Source: RNAcentral